CAGCAGCCACGGGAAUACAGAGGGUGCAAGCGUUAAUCGGAAUUACUGGGCGUAAAGCGCGCGUAGGUGGUUUGUUAAGUCGGAUGUGAAAUCCCUGAGCUUAACUUAGGAAUUGCAUUCGAUACUGGGAAGCUAGAGUAUGGGAGAGGAUGGUAGAAUUCCAGGUGUAGCGGUGAAAUGCGUAGAGAUCUGGAGGAAUACCGAUGGCGAAGGCAGCCAUCUGGCCUAAUACUGACGCUGAGGUACGAAAGCAUGGGGAGCAAACAGGAUUAGAUACCCGAGUAGUCCCUGUCUCUUAUAC
RNAcentral lists this ribosomal RNA (301 nucleotides) under uncultured bacterium. RNAcentral describes it as "partial 16S ribosomal RNA". It matches the Rfam family "Bacterial small subunit ribosomal RNA", at positions 509 to 807 of the family's 1533-position model. The record is from RNAcentral.